CAGCAGUCGCCGCGGGAAUACAGAGGGUGCGAGCGUUAAUCGGAUUUACUGGGCGUAAAGCGUGCGUAGGCGGCUUUUUAAGUCGGAUGUGAAAUCCCUGAGCUUAACUUAGGAAUUGCAUUCGAUACUGGGAAGCUAGAGUAUGGGAGAGGAUGGUAGAAUUCCAGGUGUAGCGGUGAAAUGCGUAGAGAUCUGGAGGAAUACCGAUGGCGAAGGCAGCCAUCUGGCCUAAUACUGACGCUGAGGUACGAAAGCAUGGGGAGCAAACAGGAUUAGAUACCCCGGUAGUCCCUGUCUCUUAUAC
This 304-nucleotide ribosomal RNA is filed under the name uncultured bacterium. RNAcentral's name for it is "partial 16S ribosomal RNA". It matches the Rfam family "Bacterial small subunit ribosomal RNA", at positions 509 to 807 of the family's 1533-position model. The record is from RNAcentral.